AAGAUUCUGGCCUCGGCCAAAAGUUUUCAGCUGUGAGCCUCGGCUGCACGCUGAUCAACCUCUCACACCAUGUGCGCCGUUCGGUGGCGGGCCCCGGGCCCGCGGCCGCUUUCCACAUACAACCACAGUCCAGAAUGUCAAUACCUUAAAUUAA
This 154-nucleotide unclassified non-coding RNA is filed under the name uncultured Agaricomycetes. RNAcentral's name for it is "sequence contains ITS1". The record is from RNAcentral. Lineage: Eukaryota; Fungi; Basidiomycota; Agaricomycetes.